CGUUAAGUUGCAGGGUAUAGACCCGAAACCCGGUGAUCUAGCCAUGGGCAGGUUGAAGGUUGGGUAACACUAACUGGAGGACCGAACCGACUAAUGUUGAAAAAUUAGCGGAUGACUUGUGGCUGGGGGUGAAAGGCCAAUCAAACCGGGAGAUAGCUGGUUCUCCCCGAAAGCUAUUUAGGUAGCGCCUCGUGAAUUCAUCUCCGGGGGUAGAGCACUGUUUCGGCAAGGGGGUCAUCCCGACUUACCAACCCGAUGCAAACUGCGAAUACCGGAGAAUGUUAUCACGGGAGACACACGGCGGGUGCUAACGUCCGUCGUGAAGAGGGAAACAACCCAGACCGCCAGCUAAGGUCCCAAAGUCAUGGUUAAGUGGGAAACGAUGUGGGAAGGCCCAGACAGCCAGGAUGUUGGCUUAGAAGCAGCCAUCAUUUAAAGAAAGCGUAAUAGCUCACUGGUCGAGUCGGCCUGCGCGGAAGAUGUAACGGGGCUAAACCAUGCACCGAAGCUGCGGCAGCGACACUGUGUGUUGUUGGGUAGGGGAGCGU
This 548-nucleotide ribosomal RNA is filed under the name Escherichia coli. RNAcentral's name for it is "partial 23S ribosomal RNA". It matches the Rfam family "Bacterial large subunit ribosomal RNA", at positions 693 to 1239 of the family's 2925-position model. Lineage: Bacteria; Pseudomonadati; Pseudomonadota; Gammaproteobacteria; Enterobacterales; Enterobacteriaceae. The record is from RNAcentral.